Molecule: ribosomal RNA, 742 nt
Filed under: uncultured Pseudomonadales bacterium
Lineage: Bacteria; Pseudomonadati; Pseudomonadota; Gammaproteobacteria; Pseudomonadales
Description: bacterial SSU rRNA
Rfam family: Bacterial small subunit ribosomal RNA
Source: RNAcentral
CAGGCCUAACACAUGCAAGUCGAGCGGAUGAGAAGAGCUUGCUCUUCGAUUCAGCGGCGGACGGGUGAGUAAUGCCUAGGAAUCUGCCUGGUAGUGGGGGACAACGUUUCGAAAGGAACGCUAAUACCGCAUACGUCCUACGGGAGAAAGCAGGGGACCUUCGGGCCUUGCGCUAUCAGAUGAGCCUAGGUCGGAUUAGCUAGUUGGUGAGGUAAUGGCUCACCAAGGCGACGAUCCGUAACUGGUCUGAGAGGAUGAUCAGUCACACUGGAACUGAGACACGGUCCAGACUCCUACGGGAGGCAGCAGUGGGGAAUAUUGGACAAUGGGCGAAAGCCUGAUCCAGCCAUGCCGCGUGUGUGAAGAAGGUCUUCGGAUUGUAAAGCACUUUAAGUUGGGAGGAAGGGCAUUAACCUAAUACGUUAGUGUUUUGACGUUACCGACAGAAUAAGCACCGGCUAACUCUGUGCCAGCAGCCGCGGUAAUACAGAGGGUGCAAGCGUUAAUCGGAAUUACUGGGCGUAAAGCGCGCGUAGGUGGUUUGUUAAGUUGGAUGUGAAAGCCCCGGGCUCAACCUGGGAACUGCAUCCAAAACUGGCAAGCUAGAGUACGGUAGAGGGUGGUGGAAUUUCCUGUGUAGCGGUGAAAUGCGUAGAUAUAGGAAGGAACACCAGUGGCGAAGGCGACCACCUGGACUGAUACUGACACUGAGGUGCGAAAGCGUGGGGAGCAAGCAGGAUUA